RNAcentral lists this ribosomal RNA (1080 nucleotides) under Staphylococcus aureus. Its description in RNAcentral is "partial 23S ribosomal RNA". It matches the Rfam family "Bacterial large subunit ribosomal RNA", at positions 1115 to 2196 of the family's 2925-position model. RNAcentral also lists the same sequence under 1 other name. The record is from RNAcentral. Lineage: Bacteria; Bacillati; Bacillota; Bacilli; Caryophanales; Staphylococcaceae.
GCCAUCAUUUAAAGAGUGCGUAAUAGCUCACUAGUCGAGUGACACUGCGCCGAAAAUGUACCGGGGCUAAACAUAUUACCGAAGCUGUGGAUUGUCCUUUGGACAAUGGUAGGAGAGCGUUCUAAGGGCGUUGAAGCAUGAUCGUAAGGACAUGUGGAGCGCUUAGAAGUGAGAAUGCCGGUGUGAGUAGCGAAAGACGGGUGAGAAUCCCGUCCACCGAUUGACUAAGGUUUCCAGAGGAAGGCUCGUCCGCUCUGGGUUAGUCGGGUCCUAAGCUGAGGCCGACAGGCGUAGGCGAUGGAUAACAGGUUGAUAUUCCUGUACCACCUAUAAUCGUUUUAAUCGAUGGGGGGACGCAGUAGGAUAGGCGAAGCGUGCGAUUGGAUUGCACGUCUAAGCAGUAAGGCUGAGUAUUAGGCAAAUCCGGUACUCGUUAAGGCUGAGCUGUGAUGGGGAGAAGACAUUGUGUCUUCGAGUCGUUGAUUUCACACUGCCGAGAAAAGCCUCUAGAUAGAAAAUAGGUGCCCGUACCGCAAACCGACACAGGUAGUCAAGAUGAGAAUUCUAAGGUGAGCGAGCGAACUCUCGUUAAGGAACUCGGCAAAAUGACCCCGUAACUUCGGGAGAAGGGGUGCUCUUUAGGGUUAACGCCCAGAAGAGCCGCAGUGAAUAGGCCCAAGCGACUGUUUAUCAAAAACACAGGUCUCUGCUAAACCGUAAGGUGAUGUAUAGGGGCUGACGCCUGCCCGGUGCUGGAAGGUUAAGAGGAGUGGUUAGCUUCUGCGAAGCUACGAAUCGAAGCCCCAGUAAACGGCGGCCGUAACUAUAACGGUCCUAAGGUAGCGAAAUUCCUUGUCGGGUAAGUUCCGACCCGCACGAAAGGCGUAACGAUUUGGGCACUGUCUCAACGAGAGACUCGGUGAAAUCAUAGUACCUGUGAAGAUGCAGGUUACCCGCGACAGGACGGAAAGACCCCGUGGAGCUUUACUGUAGCCUGAUAUUGAAAUUCGGCACAGCUUGUACAGGAUAGGUAGGAGCCUUUGAAACGUGAGCGCUAGCUUACGUGGAGGCGCUGGUGGG